This 209-nucleotide unclassified non-coding RNA is filed under the name soil metagenome. RNAcentral's name for it is "partial contains 5.8S ribosomal RNA, internal transcribed spacer 2, and large subunit ribosomal RNA". The record is from RNAcentral.
AACCAUAGAAACCUGCGGAGUACCUGCGGAAGGAUCAUUACCGAGUUAUGCAACUCAUCAACCCCUGUGAACUUACCUACAACGUUGCUUCGGCGGGAACAGACGGCCCCGUAAAACGGGCCGCCCCCGCCAGAGGACCCCUAACUCUGUUUUUAUAAUGUUUUUCUGAGUAAACAAGCAAAUAAAUUAAAACUUUCAACAACGGAUCU